UCCUACGGGAGGCAGCAGUGAGGAAUUUUGCGCAAUGGGGGAAACCCUGACGCAGCAACGCCGCGUGAGUGAAGAAGGCUUUCGGGUCGUAAAGCUCUGUCAAGUGGGAAAAAAUGCUAUCGAUAAAUAGUCGAUAGGAUUGAUGGUACCAUUAGAGGAAGCACCGGCUAACUCCGUGCCAGCAGCCGCGGUAAUACGGAGGGUGCGAGCGUUGUUCGGAAUUAUUGGGCGUAAAGAGCGUGUAGGCGGUUUGGUAAGUCAGAUGUGAAAGCCCUGGGCUCAACCCAGGAAGUGCAUUUGAUACUGCCUUACUUGAGUAUGGGAGAGGAGAGUGGAAUUCCCAGUGUAGAGGUGAAAUUCGUAGAUAUUGGGAAGAACACCCGUGGCGAAGGCGACUCUCUGGACCAAUACUGACGCUGAGACGCGAAAGCGUGGGGAGCAAACAGGAUUAGAUACCCCAGUAGUCCAAGCCG
RNAcentral lists this ribosomal RNA (473 nucleotides) under uncultured bacterium. Its description in RNAcentral is "bacterial SSU rRNA". It matches the Rfam family "Bacterial small subunit ribosomal RNA", at positions 337 to 802 of the family's 1533-position model. The record is from RNAcentral.